This 278-nucleotide signal recognition particle RNA is filed under the name Otolemur garnettii (small-eared galago). RNAcentral describes it as "Metazoan signal recognition particle RNA". It matches the Rfam family "Metazoan signal recognition particle RNA". From Rfam's summary of the family: The signal recognition particle (SRP) is a universally conserved ribonucleoprotein. It is involved in the co-translational targeting of proteins to membranes. The eukaryotic SRP consists of a 300-nucleotide 7S RNA and six proteins: SRPs 72, 68, 54, 19, 14, and 9. Lineage: Eukaryota; Metazoa; Chordata; Mammalia; Primates; Galagidae. The record is from Rfam by way of RNAcentral.
GCCAGACAUGGUGGCAUGCUGUAGUCUCAGCUACUCAGGAGACUGACACUGAAGGAUCACUUGAGUCCAGGGACACCCAUUGGGCGUCUAUACUAAAUUCAGAAUCAAUAUACUGACCACCGGGGGAGAGGGCCCUACCAUGUUGCCUAAGGAGGAGUCAACCUGCCCAGCUCAGAAAUGACACAGGUCAAAAUUCCCGUGCUGAUCAGUAAUGGGAUUGUGCCUAUGAAUAGCCACUGUACUCCAGCCUGGGCACCAUAGUGAGACCCCCAUCUCUU